This 301-nucleotide ribosomal RNA is filed under the name uncultured bacterium. Its description in RNAcentral is "partial 16S ribosomal RNA". It matches the Rfam family "Bacterial small subunit ribosomal RNA", at positions 509 to 807 of the family's 1533-position model. The record is from RNAcentral.
CAGCCGCCGCGGUAAAACGUAGGGUGCAAGCGUUAAUCGGAAUUACUGGGCGUAAAGCGUGCGUAGGCGGUUUGUUAAGUCUGUUGUGAAAUCCCCGGGCUCAACCUGGGAAUGGCAAUGGAUACUGGCAAGCUAGAGUGUGUCAGAGGAUGGUGGAAUUCCCGGUGUAGCGGUGAAAUGCGUAGAGAUCGGGAGGAACAUCAGUGGCGAAGGCGGCCAUCUGGGACAACACUGACGCUGAGGCACGAAAGCGUGGGGAGCGAACAGGAUUAGAUACCCCCGUAGUCCCUGUCUCUUAUAC